Molecule: small RNA, 28 nt
Filed under: Bombyx mori (domestic silkworm)
Lineage: Eukaryota; Metazoa; Arthropoda; Insecta; Lepidoptera; Bombycidae
Description: ovarian small RNA-11463
Source: RNAcentral
ACGCACCCAAACAGAGCCAGCCCCGGUA